Small nucleolar RNA from Xyrauchen texanus (razorback sucker), 210 nucleotides. RefSeq annotates it as small nucleolar RNA SNORD17. Lineage: Eukaryota; Metazoa; Chordata; Actinopteri; Cypriniformes; Catostomidae. The record is from RefSeq and is a predicted model, not a curated record. The transcript has a single exon.
GUGGCAUGAUGAACGUGUUUAUCCAUUCGCUGAGCGCUGCUGCUUCUGUCCCUUUGUGGCUUUGCGGUCCGUUUUGGUCUGUAUGGUUACAGCUGCCUGGUUUCUCUCGGCUGGGCCAAUGUUCUAUUGGGUCAGCCGUUGUGGGGUCAGAUGUGCUGGUACAAGGGGUCAGAGUGGCCCUGACAAAGACGAAUUGACACUUCUGAUCAC